UACGUAGGGUGCGAGCGUUAAUCGGAAUUACUGGGCGUAAGGCGUGCGCAGGCGGUUUUGUAAGCCCGAUGUGAAAUCCCCGGGCUUAACCUGGGAAUGGCAUUUGGGACUGCAAGGCUAGAGUGUGGCAGAGGAGACUGGAAUUCCUGGUGUAGCAGUGAAAUGCGUAGAUAUCAGGAGGAAUACCGAUGGCGAAGGCAGGUCUCUGGGCUAACACUGACGCUCAUGCACGAAAGCGUGGGGAGCAAACAGG
This 253-nucleotide ribosomal RNA is filed under the name uncultured bacterium. Its description in RNAcentral is "partial 16S ribosomal RNA". It matches the Rfam family "Bacterial small subunit ribosomal RNA", at positions 524 to 776 of the family's 1533-position model. The record is from RNAcentral.